CUGUUUCUGGCACUGAUUGAGGCCC
Molecule: non-coding RNA, 25 nt
Filed under: Rattus norvegicus (Norway rat)
Lineage: Eukaryota; Metazoa; Chordata; Mammalia; Rodentia; Muridae
Source: RNAcentral